GAUGAACGCUGGCGGCGUGCCUAAUACAUGCAAGUCGAGCGAACAGACGAGGAGCUUGCUCCUCUGACGUUAGCGGCGGACGGGUGAGUAACACGUGGAUAACCUACCUAUAAGACUGGGAUAACUUCGGGAAACCGGAGCUAAUACCGGAUAACAUGUUGAACCGCAUGGUUUAACAGUGAAAGACGGUCUUGCUGUCACUUAUAGAUGGAUCCGCGCCGCAUUAGCUAGUUGGUAAGGUAACGGCUUACCAAGGCAACGAUGCGUAGCCGACCUGAGAGGGUGAUCGGCCAAACUGGAACUGAGACACGGCCCGGACCCCAACGGGAGGCAGCAGUAGGAAUUCUGGCGCAAUGGGCGAAGCCCUGACGAAGCAACGCCGGGUGAGUGAAGAAGGUCUUCGGAUCGUAAAACUCUGUUAUUAGGAAAGAACAAAUGUGUAAGUAACUAUGCACGUCUUGACGGUACCUAAGCAGAAAGCCACGGCUAACUACGU
This 496-nucleotide ribosomal RNA is filed under the name uncultured bacterium. RNAcentral describes it as "partial 16S ribosomal RNA". It matches the Rfam family "Bacterial small subunit ribosomal RNA", at positions 28 to 506 of the family's 1533-position model. The record is from RNAcentral.